RNAcentral lists this ribosomal RNA (543 nucleotides) under Salmonella enterica subsp. enterica serovar Heidelberg. Its description in RNAcentral is "partial 23S ribosomal RNA". It matches the Rfam family "Bacterial large subunit ribosomal RNA", at positions 711 to 1228 of the family's 2925-position model. The record is from RNAcentral. RNAcentral also lists the same sequence under 5 other names. Lineage: Bacteria; Pseudomonadati; Pseudomonadota; Gammaproteobacteria; Enterobacterales; Enterobacteriaceae.
AGACCCGAAACCCGGUGAUCUAGCCAUGGGCAGGUUGAAGGUUGGGUAACACUAACUGGAGGACCGAACCGACUAAUGUUGAAAAAUUAGCGGAUGACCUGUGGCUGGGGGUGAAAGGCCAAUCAAACCGGGAGAUAGCUGGUUCUCCCCGAAAGCUAUUUAGGUAGCGCCUCGUGAAUUCAUCUCCGGGGGUAGAGCACUGUUUCGGCUAGGGGGCCAUCCCGGCUUACCAACCCGAUGCAAACUGCGAAUACCGGAGAAUGUUAUCACGGGAGACACACGGCGGGUGCUAACGUCCGUCGUGAAGAGGGAAACAACCCAGACCGCCAGCUAAGGUCCCAAAGUCAUGGUUAAGUGGGAAACGAUGUGGGAAGGCCCAGACAGCCAGGAUGUUGGCUUAGAAGCAGCCAUCAUUUAAAGAAAGCGUAAUAGCUCACUGGUCGAGUCGGCCUGCGCGGAAGAUGUAACGGGGCUAAACCAUGCACCGAAGCUGCGGCAGCGAACGUAUCACUUAAAGCGAUUCAGCGGGUUACGAUUGACGGA